GCCCCUAUAGCUCAAGGGAUAGAGCGCAAGCCUCCGGAGCUUGAGAUGCAGGUUCGAGUCCUGCUGGGGGUA
This 72-nucleotide transfer RNA is filed under the name Candidatus Azambacteria bacterium. RNAcentral's name for it is "tRNA-Arg". It matches the Rfam family "tRNA". From Rfam's summary of the family: Transfer RNA (tRNA) molecules are approximately 80 nucleotides in length. Their secondary structure includes four short double-helical elements and three loops (D, anti-codon, and T loops). Lineage: Bacteria; Candidatus Azamiibacteriota. The record is from RNAcentral.